Molecule: long non-coding RNA, 389 nt
Organism: Cephus cinctus (wheat stem sawfly)
Lineage: Eukaryota; Metazoa; Arthropoda; Insecta; Hymenoptera; Cephidae
Exons: 3
Source: RefSeq, a predicted model, not a curated record
GAUUCCGCAGUCUGUACGCUAUGCGUAUAUGCGAGGGACUGGCCAAAGGAAAUUAAAUGUGUAUAAUUAAAAACUAAGCUAGCCCAGCUGCAGGACAACUUCGGUACUCUUAUGACAGCCAUUUUGUCCAACGAUUUCCGAAAAUCGGUACGAUGACGUAGCCGAUCUUCUAGAACGUCCAGCAGCGACUAUGCAGGUUUGCGGUUCUUGAGAUGAGUCACGUGGCGAUGGCAUCGGUGCUUCCGGUAUACCGGAUGGAACGGGAGUGUCAACGGGAACCGGAAGUUCGGAGAGUCGACGAGAGAGACCGCAAGGGGAUAAUCAGUAAUCACGCGAGAUACGUUGAGUCACGUAGUGAUUCGGAUAGCAGAGGGACAAAUAACAAGGCG